Molecule: ribosomal RNA, 2759 nt
Filed under: Vibrio cholerae
Lineage: Bacteria; Pseudomonadati; Pseudomonadota; Gammaproteobacteria; Vibrionales; Vibrionaceae
Description: partial 23S ribosomal RNA
Rfam family: Bacterial large subunit ribosomal RNA
Source: RNAcentral
UGUAUGGUUAAGUGACUAAGCGUACACGGUGGAUGCCUGGGCAGUCAGAGGCGAUGAAGGACGUACUAACUUGCGAUAAGCGCAGAUAAGGCAGUAAGAGCCGUUUGAGUCUGCGAUUUCCGAAUGGGGAAACCCAACUGCAUAAGCAGUUACUGUUAACUGAAUACAUAGGUUAACAGAGCAAACCGGGGGAACUGAAACAUCUAAGUACCCCGAGGAGAAGAAAUCAACCGAGAUUCCGGUAGUAGCGGCGAGCGAACCUGGAUUAGCCCUUAAGCACUCGGUGAAGUAGGUGAACAAGCUGGAAAGCUUGGCGAUACAGGGUGAUAGCCCCGUAACCGACGCUUCAUCGAGCGUGAAAUCGAGUAGGGCGGGACACGUGAUAUCCUGUCUGAAUAUGGGGGGACCAUCCUCCAAGGCUAAAUACUCCUGACUGACCGAUAGUGAACCAGUACCGUGAGGGAAAGGCGAAAAGAACCCCUGUGAGGGGAGUGAAAUAGAACCUGAAACCGUGUACGUACAAGCAGUAGGAGCACCUUCGUGGUGUGACUGCGUACCUUUUGUAUAAUGGGUCAGCGACUUAUAUUCAGUGGCAAGGUUAACCGUAUAGGGGAGCCGUAGCGAAAGCGAGUCUUAACUGGGCGCUCAGUCUCUGGAUAUAGACCCGAAACCGGGUGAUCUAGCCAUGGGCAGGUUGAAGGUUGAGUAACAUCAACUGGAGGACCGAACCGACUAAUGUUGAAAAAUUAGCGGAUGACUUGUGGCUAGGGGUGAAAGGCCAAUCAAACUCGGAGAUAGCUGGUUCUCCCCGAAAGCUAUUUAGGUAGCGCCUCGGACGAAUACUACUGGGGGUAGAGCACUGUUAAGGCUAGGGGGUCAUCCCGACUUACCAACCCUUUGCAAACUCCGAAUACCAGUAAGUACUAUCCGGGAGACACACGGCGGGUGCUAACGUCCGUCGUGGAGAGGGAAACAACCCAGACCGCCAGCUAAGGUCCCAAAGUAUUGCUAAGUGGGAAACGAUGUGGGAAGGCUCAGACAGCUAGGAUGUUGGCUUAGAAGCAGCCAUCAUUUAAAGAAAGCGUAAUAGCUCACUAGUCGAGUCGGCCUGCGCGGAAGAUGUAACGGGGCUAAGCAAUACACCGAAGCUGCGGCAAUGUCUUUUAGACAUUGGGUAGGGGAGCGUUCUGUAAGCCGUUGAAGGUGAAUCGUAAGGUUUGCUGGAGGUAUCAGAAGUGCGAAUGCUGACAUGAGUAACGACAAAGGGGGUGAAAAACCUCCUCGCCGGAAGACCAAGGGUUCCUGUCCAACGUUAAUCGGGGCAGGGUGAGUCGACCCCUAAGGUGAGGCCGAAAGGCGUAAUCGAUGGGAAACGGGUUAAUAUUCCCGUACUUCUGACUAUUGCGAUGGGGGGACGGAGAAGGCUAGGUGGGCCAGGCGACGGUUGUCCUGGUUCAAGUGCGUAGGCUUGAGAGUUAGGUAAAUCCGGCUCUCUCUAAGGCUGAGACACGACGUCGAGCUACUACGGUAGUGAAGUCAUUGAUGCCAUGCUUCCAGGAAAAGCCUCUAAGCUUCAGAUAGUCAGGAAUCGUACCCCAAACCGACACAGGUGGUCGGGUAGAGAAUACCAAGGCGCUUGAGAGAACUCGGGUGAAGGAACUAGGCAAAAUGGUACCGUAACUUCGGGAGAAGGUACGCUCUUGAUGGUGAAGUCCCUCGCGGAUGGAGCUGACGAGAGUCGCAGAUACCAGGUGGCUGCAACUGUUUAUUAAAAACACAGCACUGUGCAAAAUCGCAAGAUGACGUAUACGGUGUGACGCCUGCCCGGUGCCGGAAGGUUAAUUGAUGGGGUUAGCGCAAGCGAAGCUCUUGAUCGAAGCCCCGGUAAACGGCGGCCGUAACUAUAACGGUCCUAAGGUAGCGAAAUUCCUUGUCGGGUAAGUUCCGACCUGCACGAAUGGCGUAAUGAUGGCCACGCUGUCUCCACCCGAGACUCAGUGAAAUUGAAAUCGCUGUGAAGAUGCAGUGUACCCGCGGCUAGACGGAAAGACCCCGUGAACCUUUACUACAGCUUGGCACUGAACAUUGAACCUACAUGUGUAGGAUAGGUGGGAGGCUAUGAAGACGUGACGCCAGUUGCGUUGGAGCCGUCCUUGAAAUACCACCCUUGUAUGUUUGAUGUUCUAACUUAGACCCAUUAUCUGGGUUGAGGACAGUGCCUGGUGGGUAGUUUGACUGGGGCGGUCUCCUCCCAAAGAGUAACGGAGGAGCACGAAGGUGGGCUAAUCACGGUUGGACAUCGUGAGGUUAGUGCAAUGGCAUAAGCCCGCUUAACUGCGAGAAUGACGGUUCGAGCAGGUGCGAAAGCAGGUCAUAGUGAUCCGGUGGUUCUGUAUGGAAGGGCCAUCGCUCAACGGAUAAAAGGUACUCCGGGGAUAACAGGCUGAUACCGCCCAAGAGUUCAUAUCGACGGCGGUGUUUGGCACCUCGAUGUCGGCUCAUCACAUCCUGGGGCUGAAGUCGGUCCCAAGGGUAUGGCUGUUCGCCAUUUAAAGUGGUACGCGAGCUGGGUUUAGAACGUCGUGAGACAGUUCGGUCCCUAUCUGCCGUGGGCGUUGGAAGAUUGAAGGGGGCUGCUCCUAGUACGAGAGGACCGGAGUGGACGAACCUCUGGUGUUCGGGUUGUGUCGCCAGACGCAUUGCCCGGUAGCUAAGUUCGGAAUUGAUAAGCGCUGAAAGCAUCUAAGCGCGAAGCGAGC